RNAcentral lists this ribosomal RNA (223 nucleotides) under uncultured bacterium. RNAcentral's name for it is "partial 16S ribosomal RNA". It matches the Rfam family "Bacterial small subunit ribosomal RNA", at positions 328 to 539 of the family's 1533-position model. The record is from RNAcentral.
ACGCUCGACACCUACGGGAGGCAGCAGUAGGGAAUCUUCCACAAUGGACGCAAGUCUGAUGGAGCAACGCCGCGUGAGUGAAGAAGGUUUUCGGAUCGUAAAGCUCUGUUGUUGGUGAAGAAGGAUAGAGGUAGUAACUGGCCUUUAUUUGACGGUAAUCAACCAGAAAGUCACGGCUAACUACGUGCUAGCAGCCGNGGUAAUCUGAGCGGGCUGGCAAGGC